UCCUAUUUGAAGAUGGACACCGUAUCCGUAUUGAAAACAGUUUGUUCCAGCCGCCUUAGUUGUUAAUCCCACAUCGCUAAUAUGUCUUUGCAACCCCCUCGGCAUCUAUAUAUAGAUGCAUGCUCUCCGGUUGUGAAUAUCAAUUCACAGUGUUUGCUAAUUUUUCGAGUGCAUAUUUGACAGGUAACUUCUUAUUCUUUCAAUUUCGUCACUCUUUUAUAACCAGCAUAUCUUGUGGUAUAAAAUUAAUAUCUUACUUUAGAAAAGUCUAAAUUACAGUCCGUUUAAUUCUACAGAAGCUAGAUUUUUAUUUCUAGAACAUAUCCGAAAUUCAGAAUUAGAAUCUUCGCGGAUCACCCUAUGUGAUUUCCCGAAGUUAGCCUUAAUUUCUAUCAUGCUGAUAGUUUCAGAUUUGUGCGAUUUCACCAAAAGUUUUAUAUCUUGAUGUAGGAACCUCGGAAUCGCAAACCGUUUGAUUUCUCAAAAACUAGAGUUCAAGAUCUACAACAUAUCCGAAAUUCAGAGUUAAACACUUUCAGGACCGUUCUAGAUGAUUUUUUGAAGUCGGCUCUAUAUUCUAACGCACCAACAUUUUUAGAUUAUCACGGUUUCACCAAAACUUUUGUAUCUCGAUGUUGGAAUGUCGUAAUUGAAAACCGUUUUAAUUGAUAGAAAUUAGACUCAGAGAGCUUCGUUAUCACCAAAAAUAUGACCCAAAUCAUGCCAGAUUAUUCUAGGCAAUGCUUUGACUCAAUUUUCGAAUCUGACACGCCUUGGCAUGUAACUAUUAUUCUUGUACUUGUAUUUUUUUUUUUGCUGCCUUCUUUUUUAUUGUUGUAGGCAAUGGAGAUAUCUUCGUCAAUAAGGUUAGACGCACAUAGAAGGAAAAAUUCAUGGCAACAAAUAGAAGGACAAAUCUUCAACCUCAUAUGGAAGGACAAAUCCAUGACGGUAUAUAGAAGGACUAAUCCAUGGCAGCAUAUAUGGAAGGACAAAUCCAUGACAACAUAUAGAAGUAUCAAAUCCAUGACAUUAUAUAGAAGUAUCAAAUUCAUGACAACAUAUAGAAGUAUCAAAUUCAUGACAACAUAUAGAAGGAUCAAAUCCAUGAAGAGGCCAACGUAAGGUGAAAAGGGACUUGAACGUCCACCUUAAGAUUGGAAAAAUAUAUUUUCUUUUAAGGACAAACCCGCGAAGAGGUCAACUUAAGGUACAAAGGGACUUCAAUGUCCACCUUAAGAUUGAAAAAUUGUAGUUCUUUUUAAGGACAAACCUACGUAGAGGUCAACUUAAGGUGCAAAGGGACUUUAACGUCCACCUUAAGAUUGAAAAAUUAGAAAACUUCAAUUUGAAGGCUUGGCGGACUUUGCAGAUUUCAACUUGAAGACCAACAAAGACAGACUUGAAAAUUUGGUGGACUUUGAUGCUUCAACUUGAAGAGCGGUGGACUUUUAAACUUCAACUUGAAAAAUUAGCAGACUUGAAGACUUCAGCUUUAAGACUUAUAGGGCUUAAAUAAUUCAACUUGAAGACCGGCGAAUUUGAGGACUUCAAAUUGAAGACUGACGUACAUGAAGACUUGGAGGGAUUGAAUACUACAACUUAAAGUUUGGCGGACUUGUAGACUUCAAUUUGAAGGGCAGUAGACUUGCAAAAUUUAACUUGAAGAGCGACAUACGUAAAGAUUUGGAUGGCUUAUAUAAUUCAACUUGAAGACCGACGAACUUGAGGACUUCAAAUUGAAGAUUUGGCCUUCUACUAAAAGUCUACAUCCAUCCAUCGGAGAUGCCAAUUUGCUAUGGUGGCUUACCCCCCAUUGAACCACCAAUCCUUAAUAAGGCACAAAGUUCAUGUAAGCCCAAUUUUUAAGUUCCAAUCAUAUGGAUUAUAUUCCAUCAUUCUUCCUUCGAAUAAUGAAUGGGGGUAACAUGUAUCUUUUGAACUUAUGCGACUGAACUCAGAAUAAAACUCUAAGCUGCCUAUGUACCUCGGUGAAGAAGAUCAAGUUAUACCGUAGUUCAGAAUGGGCGAGUUUUUUUGGGACCGUACACAGUUUAUACUCUUCCAGGCCAGGAGUAACAUAAAAUUUAUGCUCUUGUAUUAAUGAGCAUCAUAACUUACAGUUUAAGCUCGUGUUUUGAGGAGCUUUACAACUUGAAGACUUUGCUCAAAUUUGAAGAGCUUCAUAGUAUGAAUUUUAGGCUCGUGCAUCCAGGAGCUUAGUAAUUUGAAGAUUUAUCUCAAAUUCUAAGAGCUUUAUGACAUGCAGCUUAGGCUCAUGCAUCCAGGAGCGUUACAACUUGAAUAUUUUGCUCAAAUUUGAAGAGCUUCAUGACAUGUAGUUUAGGCUCGUGCAUCCAGGAGCGUUGCAACUUGAAGAUUUUGCUCAAAUUUGAAGGGCUUUAUGACAUGCAGUUUAGGCUCGUGCGUUCAAGAGCGUAGUAAUUUGAAGAUUUAGCUCAAAUUUGAAGAGCUUUGCAACUCGAAGUCUUUGCUCGACUUCGAAGAGCUUUCGAUUUGAGUCUUUGCUCGAAUUUGAAGAGCUUUACAACUUGAACACUUUGCUCGAAUUUGAAUAGCUUUACAAUUUGAAGACUUUGCUCGAACUUGAAGAGCUUUGCA
This 2622-nucleotide long non-coding RNA is filed under the name Nicotiana tabacum (common tobacco). RNAcentral describes it as "long non-coding RNA (NTAB_LNC011378)". The record is from RNAcentral. Lineage: Eukaryota; Viridiplantae; Streptophyta; Magnoliopsida; Solanales; Solanaceae.